Non-coding RNA from Rattus norvegicus (Norway rat), 2053 nucleotides. NCBI's taxonomy places the organism in Eukaryota, Metazoa, Chordata, Mammalia, Rodentia, Muridae. The record is from RefSeq and is a predicted model, not a curated record.
AGCCUCGUCAAGUAUGGUUGCAGCCACAUUGAACCUGUCAUUCACUUUCUUGCUUGCCAUCCUUGGUUCACCCAUUUUCUAUUGACUGAAGUAUUUUUCUUGCUCCUUCCUUUCUUUGGCUAACCUCAGUUUCUUUAGGUUUUUGCUCAGGGGUUCCUGUCUAUCUCAUGAUUUACUCCCACCCCCCAGAUUGGUGCCUUUCCCCCCUUUACCAGAGGCUUUCUUACCAUUUCUGCCUGCCUCUGGGGAGCCCUUUUUAAAUAAGGGAUUAUGGGGGUUUGCCUCUCCCAUCCUUUUGCCUGACCCUGGAACUCUUGUGUGCCUUGGAAGCUCCUGGUCUGGAAAGUGAUGAGAAGAGGAGCAGUUCCUCUACAGACCUGGGAACCAAACUAGGUUCCGUGGGCUUGAUCCAUACAGCUUUGACUUUGUACAAAUUUCUGGAUCAUUCUGUGAUUUAGUCACCUGAACAUAUGGGAAAAUAAAUAAUGUUUCUCUCCAUGACAGGAUUAUUAAGAAGCUAGAAUGAGGGAAAGUGUAUAAAGGGUGCAUAUGAAAGGCUCCACAUUAGGGAUGUUCAUGUGGCUAUGGUGGAGGGUGCCUGAGAAGGAAGGUUGCUGGGGCCACACUGAGCUCUGUGAGAGUGGAUUUGACUCUGUUCUGGGGAGGCAUGAAAGUGAUUACAUGUUGAGAAAUGAUUGGAUGUAAUUUUAGAAAGAAUACUAGCAGGAAUGUGAUGGAUUGCAAAGAACCAGUUAGGAGGCGGUACAGUUUGCAUGGAAGCAAAGGGCUUAGGGGCCAGGACUGACUCAGGGAACACUUCUGAGGUGUCACAGUAGGGCCUGUAGGGUAAUAGGAGGGGGCUGGGAAGAAUUGUGUGAUUACAGUCAAGAUGCCGAUGCCGAAGUAAUCUGUGUGAUAAUGUGAUUUAAUCAUGAUCAGAAAUGGGAAGGAAUGGAGAAGUAUGUGUGUGUGUGUGUGUGUGUGUGUGUGUGUGUGUGUGUGUGUGUGUGUGUGUACUAGGUUUGGGGCUUGUCUCAGAAGAGACAUGUGCCAUAAAAGGGUGGGUGGGUGGUAUUGUGCAGGAAUGCAGCAGGGAGAAAGGGCCAGUGAGGGAACCCUACAUUUAAGAGAGUGUUUAAGGCUGCUCAGAGUGGAACUAGAGGAAACUGAGAAUGAAGGAGUGACUGGGGAAGUUAGAGAAGACAGGGAGGAGGGCAGAGUGAGGUCUGAAAGGAGGAGGUGGGCAGCAGAUCAAUUUGCCUGUGACUCCCACCCUGGCUUUGAUGGAGAGGGAAGGGCAGAUGUCUCGGAUGCAGUGGUGUAAAAGGUGAAUGGAGCAGUGAGGAGACGGAGGCUGGGGGCCGAGCUGUUCAUCUAAGAUGCUCGUCAGUGAGGUUUCCCGUACAGAAUGACGGUGAGCUGCAUUUUGCCAGGUUUUCCUCCCUCAAGUGCUUGGGCAUCAUUUCCAUUUAGUCACUAGGGAGUUGUCCCAGGUAUUGGAUGCAGCAUUAUUUUCUCAUGCUUGGUUCUCCACCUACCUGUGGCCCAGUGUUCUCAGUCCUGGCUGCACUGUAAACUUAACUGAGCUUUAACACUUGCAGACUCUCCUUCAGAGAUUCUGCUUUAGUUGACCCAGGGUGGGUCCCAAGCACUGUUUACUUGGGUUUGAAGCCUUUAGGUCGUGCUAAUGUGUAGCCAGCACAGAAAGGCACAAGGGCCAUGCCAUAAGGAUGCCUUGCUACAUGUGUCAUGUGGGACAGUAAAGUGACAGGUCUGUGGGCACAGUGUGCGAAAGGAGAGGAAAGUCAAGUUUGGAAGACACUGUUUCGCGGGGGCUGCAUGCAUGGACCCUGAGUGCAGUGUGAAGCGGACUGUGGUCCUGUAUAGGCAGAAAGGACAUCGGGUCUGGGGCAGAGUCUCAGGCUCUGACUCCCUCGGGCUGGCUCCUCAGUUGGGAAUUGAGGUGAUUGGACUAAAUGCCUUCUAGUUACCCUCUGCCAUAAACUUCAGGUCUCAGUUCUAAAAUGUUUUAAGACAGUUAAUGCCUAUAAAA